GUCCACGCCCUAAACGAUGUCGACUAGUUGUCGGGUCUUAAUUGACUUGGUAACGCAGCUAACGCGUGAAGUCGACCGCCUGGGGAGUACGGUCGCAAGAUUAAAACUCAAAGGAAUUGACGGGACCCGCACAAGCGGUGGAUGAUGUGGAUUAAUUCGAUGCAACGCGAAAACCUUACCUACCCUUGACAUGGUCGGAACCUUAGAGAGAUCUAGGGGUGCUCGCAAGAGAACCGGCGCACAGGUGCUGCAUGGCUGUCGU
RNAcentral lists this ribosomal RNA (262 nucleotides) under uncultured bacterium. RNAcentral describes it as "partial 16S ribosomal RNA". It matches the Rfam family "Bacterial small subunit ribosomal RNA", at positions 793 to 1055 of the family's 1533-position model. The record is from RNAcentral.